Solanum pennellii is the source of this 584-nucleotide long non-coding RNA. RefSeq lists it as uncharacterized. The transcript is spliced from 2 exons. NCBI's taxonomy places the organism in Eukaryota, Viridiplantae, Streptophyta, Magnoliopsida, Solanales, Solanaceae. The record is from RefSeq and is a predicted model, not a curated record.
GAUUCUUCUUUUCUUAAUAAAGUGUUUUGUGUUAAAUAUCAGUUUGUCCUUGACUAUGUACUUCUAUUAUGUCGUUUCAUUACCUUGGUUGGCAAAACAUGAGAAAGGAAAUGAAAAGGAGAGAAAAGAUUCAGUUCUUAUUGCCAAGGAUGGAGAUAUGUGAUACAAUAAGCCCAUAUGGAGUUGAAUGGAGGAGGAGAUUAUGCGGACAAGUAGGUGACCACGGUUCUUCCAAUAUGGCAUGUAGAUUUUGAGAGGUUAGAGAUAGCCAGCAUUUGCUUCGGGGAAGGGGAGGUAGUCCCACAAGCUAUUGACCAUCUAUGAUAUGCUCAGGGUGCAGGAAUUGGGUACAAAAGUGGCACAUCACUUUGUCAGGCAUGCCAACCAAAUUUCUGGUCGGUCAAAUGUGGAUAGAAUUUAACACAUUUCUCAAUUUCCUGAAAUCAAAGACAUUGUUAAGAUAUCCUUGUUUCUUCCUUGGCUAAAUGUUUCUUUGUGGCAUUUGUGUAUCAAUAGUAGACCAAUGUGCAUAAUCUGAUAAAUGUGAGUUGUAAGAUGGUAUGAAUGUUGCCUCUUGGCUUGGG